RNAcentral lists this ribosomal RNA (62 nucleotides) under Tetracladium marchalianum. Its description in RNAcentral is "partial 28S ribosomal RNA". It matches the Rfam family "Eukaryotic large subunit ribosomal RNA", at positions 1 to 61 of the family's 3401-position model. The record is from RNAcentral. Lineage: Eukaryota; Fungi; Ascomycota; Leotiomycetes; Helotiales.
UUGACCUCGGAUUAGGUAGGGAUACCCGCUGAACUUAAGCAUAUCAAUAAGCGGAGGAAAAG